GGGUCGAUGGCGUAGUUGGUUAUCGCAUCUGUCUCACAUUGGAAAUGUGCACAGGAGGUCCUCAGUUCGAGCCUGGGUCGACUCA
Molecule: transfer RNA, 85 nt
Organism: Termitomyces sp. J132
Lineage: Eukaryota; Fungi; Basidiomycota; Agaricomycetes; Agaricales; Lyophyllaceae
Rfam family: tRNA
About the family: Transfer RNA (tRNA) molecules are approximately 80 nucleotides in length. Their secondary structure includes four short double-helical elements and three loops (D, anti-codon, and T loops).
Source: Rfam